Aedes aegypti (yellow fever mosquito) is the source of this 941-nucleotide long non-coding RNA. RefSeq lists it as uncharacterized. The record is from RefSeq and is a predicted model, not a curated record. The transcript is spliced from 2 exons. NCBI's taxonomy places the organism in Eukaryota, Metazoa, Arthropoda, Insecta, Diptera, Culicidae.
GGCAGUUUUAACGACUCACCAUUUAGUUGUCUGAAACGAUGUUCCAAGUAACGUAUUUGCCAACUCUCCUAAUUAUUGUGCUAUUUUUCCUAGCAGUGCCAUCAUAUACCGCAAAAAAGCUGGCAUUGCGUCUAGAUGGGUUACCUUGUACGGAUUUGGACCAGCAGUUCGAUCAGGAUGGAAACACUUGUUUUUGUUCUUCGUAUGGCAUCACCCUCUAUUGCCAGCCCGAAAUUGAAACCGUAUUGAAGUGAAUUAAUCGUGUACAAUUGUCCCUUCGUUCUAAGUCAUCUGAUGGUACACAAUUUCCUAGCCACGUGCUUACUCCCCCAAUAAUGUAAUUAAGAAUGUUUAAAAUUAAUCCUUAUGAAAUCCUUCGCGAAAUUUCUAGCAAAAAAACAUUCCCAUCAUAUACACACCGUAUCCAAUGUACUCUGAUACAUAUCCGAUGCACAAUUAUUUCACACUAGUCUAACUGAAAACAUUUUGAUAUUGUUUGAAAUAUAUACCACACUUUCCACAAUUUAUGUUAAGCGGUGCACUCAUAAUCAUAGCCAAAUUCAAUCUGGGACCAUGUUCUUGUAUUACUGUACAUAGUAGUUUGAUUAUCUAAUUUCAAAUCUUAAAAAUGUAAAGAAUUUUAAUAAUGUUUGAAAUCAACUCUAUUAAUACUAACGAACUAAUUAUUUCAACAAUUGAAAUGUCUAAGAUCAAUCUAUGAAAAUGUGAAACAUAAUUGCAUUGUAUAAAAAUAACAUUGAAAUGAACUAAAAUUAACUCUUAAAAGCAAAAAAAGAAGGUUUGUAUCAUCCCUUCCGUCGACUCACUAACAACCACGCCUAUGAUUCAUGAGCAAGCAGUUCCACAUUUAUUUCGCACACAUCCAUGUUGAAAAUAUGGCAAACAUAUAAUAAACCAUUCUGAUGCAGCGUCCCUAUCAA